RNAcentral lists this ribosomal RNA (252 nucleotides) under uncultured Gardnerella sp. Its description in RNAcentral is "partial 16S ribosomal RNA". It matches the Rfam family "Bacterial small subunit ribosomal RNA", at positions 103 to 354 of the family's 1533-position model. The record is from RNAcentral. Lineage: Bacteria; Bacillati; Actinomycetota; Actinomycetes; Bifidobacteriales; Bifidobacteriaceae.
CGGGUGAGUAAUGCGUGACCAACCUGCCCCAUGCUCCAGAAUAGCUCUUGGAAACGGGUGGUAAUGCUGGAUGCUCCAACUUGACGCAUGUCUUGUUGGGAAAGUGUUUAGUGGCAUGGGAUGGUGUCGCGUCCUAUCAGCUUGUAGGCGGGGUAAUGGCCCACCUAGGCUUCGACGGGUAGCCGGCCUGAGAGGGCGGACGGCCACAUUGGGACUGAGAUACGGCCCAGACUCCUACGGGAGGCAGCAGGU